Molecule: transfer RNA, 86 nt
Filed under: Gomphillus americanus
Lineage: Eukaryota; Fungi; Ascomycota; Lecanoromycetes; Ostropales; Graphidaceae
Description: tRNA-Ser
Source: RNAcentral
AGAGAAUUGACUGAGUGGUUGAAAGUGAUGAGCUUGAAACUUAUUUAAUAAUAUUUAUUACAUCCGUUCAAAUCGGAUAUUCUCUG